UACGUAGGGGGCAAGCGUUAUCCGGAUUUACUGGGUGUAAAGGGAGCGUAGACGGCAAUGCAAGUCUGGAGUGAAAGGCGGGGGCCCAACCCCCGGACUGCUCUGGAAACUGUAUAGCUGGAGUGCAGGAGAGGUAAGUGGAAUUCCUAGUGUAGCGGUGAAAUGCGUAGAUAUUAGGAGGAACACCAGUGGCGAAGGCGGCUUACUGGACUGUAACUGACGUUGAGGCUCGAAAGCGUGGGGAGUAAACAGG
RNAcentral lists this ribosomal RNA (253 nucleotides) under uncultured bacterium. RNAcentral describes it as "partial 16S ribosomal RNA". It matches the Rfam family "Bacterial small subunit ribosomal RNA", at positions 524 to 776 of the family's 1533-position model. The record is from RNAcentral.